AACGAACGCUGGCGGCAUGCCUAACACAUGCAAGUCGAACGAGACCUUCGGGUCUAGUGGCGCACGGGUGCGUAACGCGUGGGAACCUGCCCUUAGGUUCGGAAUAACUCCCCGAAAGGGGUGCUAAUACCGGAUAAUGUCUUCGGACCAAGGAUUUAUCGCCUUUGGAUGGGCCCGCGUUGGAUUAGCUAGUUGGUAGGGUAAAAGCCUACCAAGGCGACGUUCCAUAGCUGGUCUGAGAGGAUGAUCAGCCACACUGGGACUGAGACACGGCCCAGACUCGUACGGGAGGCGGCAGUGGGGAAUAUUGGACAAUGGGCGAAAGCCUGAUCCAGCAAUGCCGCGUGGGUGAUGAAGGCCUUAGGGUUGUAAAGCUCUUUUACCCGGGAUGAUAAUGACAGUACCGGGAGAAUAAGCUCCGGCUAACUCCGUG
This 433-nucleotide ribosomal RNA is filed under the name uncultured bacterium. RNAcentral describes it as "partial 16S ribosomal RNA". It matches the Rfam family "Bacterial small subunit ribosomal RNA", at positions 29 to 507 of the family's 1533-position model. The record is from RNAcentral.